ACUGUGUCAACGUCUUCUUUCACUGUUUUUGAAUCCAGACCAGAGCACUAACAACGGAUUGGGAUAGGCCUACAAAAACAAAAGCCCGGUCUGUUCUUGCCUUUGGUGAAAAACCCAGCGGUUAAUUUGAUGGAGUCAGUUAUUAUCAACAAGAGCAGUUUGUGGAUUUCAUCAACAUCUUUCAAUACUAAGAAGAAAGUAUAAUCUCUUACUUGUCGUUCUCAAGAGUCUUUCGUAGAGGAAAAAAAGAAGCCAACCAGCCUCAACCCUUCAAGAGGAUUUGGGACUUGAGCAUUAG
This is a long non-coding RNA of Sardina pilchardus (European sardine), 298 nucleotides long. RefSeq lists it as uncharacterized. Lineage: Eukaryota; Metazoa; Chordata; Actinopteri; Clupeiformes; Clupeidae. The record is from RefSeq and is a predicted model, not a curated record. The transcript is spliced from 3 exons.